UACGGAGGGAGCUAGCGUUGUUCGGAAUUACUGGGCGUAAAGCGCACGUAGGCGGCGAUUUAAGUCAGGGGUGAAAGCCCGGUGCUCAACACCGGAACUGCCUUUGAGACUGGAUUGCUUGAAUCACGGAGAGGUGGGUGGAAUUCCGAGUGUAGAGGUGAAAAUUCGUAGAUAUUCGGAAGAACACCAGUGGCGAAGGCGGCCCACUGGACGUGUAUUGACGCUGAGGUGCGAAAGCGUGGGGAGCAAACAGGG
RNAcentral lists this ribosomal RNA (255 nucleotides) under uncultured bacterium. Its description in RNAcentral is "partial 16S ribosomal RNA". It matches the Rfam family "Bacterial small subunit ribosomal RNA", at positions 524 to 777 of the family's 1533-position model. The record is from RNAcentral.